Long non-coding RNA from Epinephelus moara (kelp grouper), 5454 nucleotides. RefSeq lists it as uncharacterized. The record is from RefSeq and is a predicted model, not a curated record. NCBI's taxonomy places the organism in Eukaryota, Metazoa, Chordata, Actinopteri, Perciformes, Serranidae. The transcript has 5 exons.
ACACACACACACACAUUUUAAUAUCUUUAUCCAUGUGCAGAUUUUUACACAUCCCAGCAGAAUACAUGAUACAAACUAAUGUUUCCAUGCUACCAUCCAACCUUAAUUAAAGGACAUGGGCAGCAGCAUUUUUGCCAAACACGACUACACAAACACACUAUUUUGCAAGUAUUUCAGCCUCUCUCCUGGAUGCAUCCUCCACACUAUAGCAAACAAACAAACAGACAAAGCUCUCAUGCACAAUGACAACAUGUGUGUAGUGCAGACGUGAACAUAUUUGAAACUUAUCUGCAGUUACAGUUGCAAAAUUUCAAUGAAGAAAGCAAAACGCGGAAAUGCAGAUACACUUCUUUGUUACCUGUGACAUAUGUGGUGAUUUAUUUGCACAGCAGCUAUUCAGAACAUGCGACAAGGAAGUGAGGUUCACAUGUGAUUUGAAAGUUGGCACAGAAACAGAGACAGCCGGUAAUCUUCUUAAAAUUUAUACUGUUUUUAUGUACCUGCUAUGUUACGUUUAAGGCCCAGGUGUAAAAGAUGUUAUGCUUUGCUCACGUCAAGAUAAAAAAAAUGCUCUUACUGGCACAGGCAAAAAUGUCAGCUACAUAUUACACCCUCACCAAACUGGCAAUGUGUAGUAAUCACUCUUCAUCUAUUUUAUUAACCUCUUCUCGGCCAUGCAGACAUUGUGUUUGUCUUGUAGGAGGUUGAAUAAGUCAGACAGUCAAUAAGCUGUGCCGCAUAGAGCUGUACCAAAAAGUUUGAAGCUUCAAACACUCAUUUAUAACAUUCACAUUCAAUUCAAUUUGACAACAUGGAAAGCCUUUCAUUUUAAAGCAACAGUUCUGCAUGUCUACUCAUUCUGUUUAAACUUGAUAUGUCUUCACAGCUGCAGAUUACACUGAUGUCAUUAGUAUUACACAAGUUGUAGAAUUAGAUUGUGAUCCAAACAUUUCCAGUAAGUUGAGAAUUUGUUGGAGCCUUUCAUAAACAUUCUCACAGCAGACAAGAAAAAAACUGUGUGUACUCCCCCACUUUUCGCACACAAAGGGAGACACACACUUGUGUCAACGGGACAGUCUAACAGCACCAUAAACUACAUUCAUAUAACCACAACAACACAAAAGUGUUCCAACUCGAACACUAAAAAGACUAACUCAUUAAAUGCGUGAGAAUUUUUUCUCUUUUAUAGGGUGAUGACCUCAUAGAACACAAUGACAGACAGCAUUCGAAAAACAUCAGAAAGCUUUGAAUGUAAAAGAAACGAAAGUGUUUGCAGAGCUCGUGAAGUGCCCUGUGUUUUUGGAAUGAAAAAAGGAAAGACAUAUCUCACAGUCUCCUGACAAUAAGAGCUCUAUUAGAGGAUUUUAGCAUGUUGCUUGUAAAUCUUAUUGACAAAACUGCUGAAGAAUUUUAUUACAAGCUCCGUCCAAAUGAUUCAAGCUAUUGAGUCACUGGCUUUGAUCCUAACACCUACGUUAACAUGACAGUCGUAAGGUCAACAUGUAGCAGAUAUUUUUGAUUUGUGAAUUUGUCCUGCUUUCUGUUGAAACAGCUUUUCGAUGUGACACUGUGUCAUGUGUCCUCUUCUCUUUUCUCAAUAAACCUUCAUGUUUCCUCUUCAUCAAUUUAACUUUUCUAUUUCCUUUUCAUUGAAUUCUACAGUCACUACUACAUCCUGCUGACGUCUGCAUGCAUAGCCUGUCAUUACGACUAUUUAUUGCUGACAUUUAUCGCUUUAGCUUACAUUUCAGAGCUGUUAUCUUCAUAUGUGCAUAGGCGCUUGCUGAAUAAGCAAACAAAAUUUGUUUAAUUGCUGCGAAGGACAAACUAAAGACGGUGAGUGAAUUUUUAUAGUAAGUGCACCUAAAUGUUGAAGUAAUUCACCUAAAGAAAUAUACUAUGCCAUGUGAACUGACAGUAAACUGGUGUGUUUUUCAGAGGUGAAAUGCCCAGGAUAUCAGACCCUUUCAAAAAGGUAUUUCAAUGCAAGAAUUGUGUGUAUGACGUAGAGGCUACCUAUCUAUCAAAUUUGCUUUUAUCGUAUGAGCCCUAAGGUGUUGUGGUAGUGGCCUUUUAAUCAUCCCCAACGUUAGAAAACAAACCCACAGUGAGGCAUCAUUUCAUAACUAUGGUCCAUGUGUACGGAAGAGCCUGCUCGAGGACCUGAGGGCCGCAGAGAGUGGUGAUGUUUUUAAAGGCAACUCUUUUUUAUUGUGUAUUUCUCUGUUUUUAUUUUAUUUUUUCUAGCUGGCAUAUUCUUCUAUUUUGUAACUUAUUUACUGACUGAUUUAAAACUGUUUUCAUCCUGCCUCUGGUGUUUCCCCACUCAUGACAGCAUUUUCUCAGUUCCUCUUAUGAGUGCUGGUGUAAUUUUAGUCUUUGCCACUACAGUCUUUGUGUGUGUGCUUGUGACGCACUUUGUAACUUAGUCGCAUCCUGUCUGUAUGAAAAGUGCCGUAUAAAAAAAAUCUGAUCAACUGACUGAUUGAAGUUCAGCUCUGUCAAAAUUCCCAGGAAGCAGUGUAAAGCAGUGCAAGGACUUUCUUUUUAAAUACAGGACUGUGACAGACACAGGCCCUUUUUUAAAAUGCUACAGCACCAACACUGCACCUUACAACAAACACUGUCUGUAGCCUGUUUUGUGCCAGAGAUUAUUAUAGACACUAGCUCAGUAUCUGCUGAGCUACUGGGCAAUUUGAGGUACAACCACAAAGACAUGUAGUGGCCAGUGAGAAUGAAUGAAUGAAUGAGAGGUGAGCUUGUGACCACAGGAUUCUAUUAAGACAAAUCAAAAGGUGGGGAAGGAAAUGACUGACCACUUCUGGAAAUGAACAUGCACUGACUGCAACAGUGCUGUUUGGGUUUAUACACCAGCUAUCAGUGUUUAAAUGUUCACCUGUGUAUUUUUAUCCUCACUUACCAGCAGAAUUUGGCUUACACUGAGCAUUUGAAUGAAUAAAUGACCCCAUCACAUGUUCUGCUGCUGCGUAUGUAGUAAAGUGCCAUAUGGAUAAACUGCCUCCUACAUGAGCGCGCCAGGUUUAAAUCAAAGUCCGUCUCCACAAACAGCAAAGAUUACAGCUCAGCAUGACGUUUUCUACGUUAAUUCAUCUGAGAUUGUGUGAAAACUCAGCGGGCACUGUCUAGGACGGAAGUAAAAUCACACGCUGCGGUUGCAAAGCUGCGUUACGCAGGAUGUGGGAGCGAAAGACUGUAAAUCUCUGCGCUCAAAAGCCACCGGAACCGCGGGAACAGUGAGAGGACCAUUGCGUUUUGUGUUGACUGUGUGAAACCAAACAAACCGAGCAUCUGAGCAGCAAUGAAGACACACGAGAGAGUGUCACUUUCCAUCUCUAACGUCAGCUUGCGGUGAAUAUGAGUGAAGAAUGACCAAUGCCUCUUCUUUGCAUCAGUCUCCUUGCUCUUCUGCUUCUACCUCUAUCUCUCUCCUGUAACACCACGCUUUCCAAUGAACUCCAUGAAAACAUGCAGUUGGUGCUGAAAGUUCAUCUUGACAACACAAACGACAGUAUUGAAGCAUCGCUGCAGAGCUCAACCUGCUCAGCAAAGCAUCGCAGGCUACACAACUGCAUGAAUAGCGAUGCGCAGGAUGUUGUGAACACCUUUUACAACCUAACCUGCAAAAUGAAGAACUUAGAUGUUCCUGAGGUGAAGGACCUGGUCAAAGAUGUCCUGGGGUCGUUAAAAUGCAUUUGUCAGAUUAAACCGACCACAGUACCCAAGAGGAGGAGGAAGACGGUGACUAGAAAACUUUGCAGAGCCAAGGCAAUCCUGUCUGACAUGACCGUAUGCUUCGAGAAGCUGAACAAUAUGUUAGCUGUCCGGACAACACCCCGAAGCUCAUCGUGAAGCAAAAAAAGACUUGCACGUCCUGCCAGUUCGUCUGUACCACGCGUUCCUUCGUUGGAUUAUGCAAGAGGAAGCUUCCACUUCAUUUAAGCUAUCCUGUCAAGUACCUGUACAUAUCUCUUGCAACUGCUUUGGAUGUUGGAUGACUACUGACUCCUCAGAUAAGUCACACAAGCUACACAGACACAAGCUAUUAAGCCAACUGGAGAAGAAAGUCCCAAGGCCGUCCUGUCCAACACAUUGGACUCUGUAGCCAACGGUGCACUAAGCUGCGUGUACCACCCACCAUGCAGAAUUCACAAGAAUGUCUCGUGCACUCCACCAAAGGUGCGUGAUGCACAGGAAAAAACAGCUCUUGGUUUGGGUGGAGCGUAAAAGAGAAACUACAAGGUGGCAACGUAGAGCUAAAAUUAUUUUUUUUUUUAAAGCAAUUAGAUUGUAAAGAAUAUGCUAUGACAUUUACUUGCACUUCGUGAUGACAGCUCAAGCAUGAGCAGGAAAUAUUAAGGUGCUCAAAUAGUUUUGUUUUCACUUUUGGUUCAAAUGACUCGCCCUGGCAAAUCUCGGUUAUCUUGCUUAUCUAAAGCUCCUUUGUUAUUGUAUCUGGGGAGCUGUUUUAGGCCGGGUGUCAAUCAAUGGAACUCUCCUUAAAAUGACACUGUGUUGAGUAAUCCGUGUGAUUGAUAUUUUAAAAGCUAAUUCUGCCACAGAUGGCUGAGUCUAGCUUCCACAUACCUGACUCUGUUCUGGGAUACAGCUCUCCUGUCACAUUCAUUUGGUGCUUUGAUUAAUGGUGCCUGCCUAAUUUAAAAAAAAAAAAACAAGUCCUGUAUUGUAGCUCGGGGAGCUAAAACACUCAACUGCCACAAGUGUUGUUUUGCAUUAUUUUUGUGUAGGCCAUUUCUUGGUUUGUGUACCAGAAAAAAAAACUAGAAUUACUGCCUGGUGGUUGAAUACCAGUCAAAGUGCAGUUUACAUCCAUGUCUGUCCAGACUCAUAUGUAGCUAUGAUAUUUGACAAUGCUUCAAAUAUAGAUGGUGCUACAAAGAUGCUACAAAUUCUAAAAUGUGGAUGCUUCACACAUCUUCAACACAGCAACACAGAAGAUGUGGACACCAAGGAUUAGUAUCGCCAUUUCAGUAUCUGACCAAGUAACUCCCCUUCUGUUGCCGAGUGAUGGCUUGAAUAACGGCCAGACAACAUUUGGAUAUAAAAUAUCAUGACUUCAUUUUGUUCUAUUGGACAUUUGGUCAUAAUCAGUGUUUGAAUUCUGAGGUCACAGUGACCUUUGACCACAAAAAUCUACUCAGUUAAUUGCUGAGUCUGACCAGACACCGUCAGAUUUGAGGAAAUUUCCUCAACGCCGUCUUGAGAUAUCGUGUUUGUGAGAAUGAGACAGAUGCAAGGUCACAGUGACCUUCAAUUUUGACCACCAAAUUGUAAUCACUGUUGAGAUUCACAAGAAAGGAACGGACGGACAUACAGUCUGAAAAUACAAUGCCUCUGACCACAGCUAUCGUCAGAGUGGCAAAAAUAAGCAUGCAGCCUUAACUCCAACAGCUGUUUUCUCUUCCUGUCAGGGAC